GUACCCUUAGCUCAAUCGGCAGAGCACUGGAUUGUGGUUCCAGGGGUUGUGGGUUCAAGUCCCAUAGGGUACCCCA
This 76-nucleotide transfer RNA is filed under the name Chloroflexota bacterium. Its description in RNAcentral is "tRNA-His". It matches the Rfam family "tRNA". Rfam says of the family: Transfer RNA (tRNA) molecules are approximately 80 nucleotides in length. Their secondary structure includes four short double-helical elements and three loops (D, anti-codon, and T loops). The record is from RNAcentral. Lineage: Bacteria; Bacillati; Chloroflexota.